AUUGAACGCUGGCGGCAUGCCUUACACAUGCAAGUCGAACGGUAACAGGUCUUCGGAUGCUGACGAGUGGCGAACGGGUGAGUAAUACAUCGGAACGUGCCUAGUAGUGGGGGAUAACUACUCGAAAGAGUGGCUAAUACCGCAUGAGAUCUACGGAUGAAAGCAGGGGAUCGCAAGACCUUGUGCUACUAGAGCGGCCGAUGGCAGAUUAGGUAGUUGGUGGGAUAAAAGCUUACCAAGCCGACGAUCUGUAGCUGGUCUGAGAGGACGAUCAGCCACACGGGGACUGAGACACGGCCCAGACUCCUACGGGAGGCAGAAGUGGGGAAUUUUGGACAAUGGGCGCAAGCCUGAUCCAGCAAUGCCGCGUGCAGGAUGAAGGCCUUCGGGUUGUAAACUGCUUUUGUACGGAACGAAAAGCCCCGGGUUAAUACCCUGGGGUCAUGACGGUACCGUAAGAAUAAGCACCGGCUAACUACGUGCCAGCAGCCGCCGUAA
This 498-nucleotide ribosomal RNA is filed under the name uncultured bacterium. Its description in RNAcentral is "partial 16S ribosomal RNA". It matches the Rfam family "Bacterial small subunit ribosomal RNA", at positions 30 to 523 of the family's 1533-position model. The record is from RNAcentral.